This 301-nucleotide ribosomal RNA is filed under the name uncultured bacterium. Its description in RNAcentral is "partial 16S ribosomal RNA". It matches the Rfam family "Bacterial small subunit ribosomal RNA", at positions 509 to 808 of the family's 1533-position model. The record is from RNAcentral.
CAGCCGCCACGGGAAUACGUAGGGUGCGAGCGUUAAUCGGAAUUACUGGGCGUAAAGCGUGCGCAGGCGGUUCGUUAAGACAGAUGUGAAAUCCCCGGGCUUAACCUGGGAACUGCAUUUGUGACUGGCGAGCUAGAGUAUGGCAGAGGGGGGUAGAAUUCCACGUGUAGCAGUGAAAUGCGUAGAGAUGUGGAGGAAUACCGAUGGCGAAGGCAGCCCCCUGGGCCAAUACUGACGCUCAUGCACGAAAGCGUGGGGAGCAAACAGGAUUAGAUACCCCCGUAGUCCUGUCUCUUAUACC